RNAcentral lists this ribosomal RNA (253 nucleotides) under uncultured bacterium. Its description in RNAcentral is "partial 16S ribosomal RNA". It matches the Rfam family "Bacterial small subunit ribosomal RNA", at positions 524 to 776 of the family's 1533-position model. The record is from RNAcentral.
GACGAACCGUGCGAACGUUGUUCGGAAUCACUGGGCUUAAAGGGCGCGUAGGCGGGCAUUCAAGUCAAGGGUGAAAUCCCCCAGCUUAACUGGGGAACUGCCUUUGAUACUGGGUGCCUCGAGUAAGGUAGGGGCAUGCGGAACUGAUGGUGGAGCGGUGAAAUGUGUUGAUAUCAUCAGGAACUCCGGUGGCGAAGGCGGCAUGCUGGACCUUCACUGACGCUGAGGCGCGAAAGCUAGGGGAGCGAACGGG